UAUUGACAAAGUGGGACGAGAAAAUCGUGACCUGUACACGAAUCAAUAAAUCUAAAUAACGUGACCAUUUCACGAACUGGCGUGAGACCAGGUUGUGUAAAUUCAGUUCACGAUAUGAAGAGAAACAAGUAGGACGGAAGAGAUCAGAGUUGGCACGGACCGUCCAUGUGCAGCCCAAAUACCGUAUUGACCUGAUAUGAUACGACCCUGUGUUGUCCGCCUGUCUGUUCGCAUGAGGACCGCAGUAGACCCCGCAGAUCCAGGCGACUAUGCAGGCCAAGUGGCGCUCCCCGUGUGAAAAGCCCCUUUAUGCUUCAACAGUGUUAUGACAUAAUGAGACUUUCUUCACUUCAUAUGAACACCAUAUGUGUAAUUCAUGGCUCAAUUCAAACGUUCUCAACCUGUUCGCUACCGUACAUUUUUUUUUCCUAAUUAAGGUCCCAUCGUGGUCCACCGGAAGAGGGUGGACAUCACCUUUCAAUGGCGAAAAAAUCUAA
This is a long non-coding RNA of Sander lucioperca (pikeperch), 497 nucleotides long. RefSeq lists it as uncharacterized. The record is from RefSeq and is a predicted model, not a curated record. The transcript is spliced from 3 exons. NCBI's taxonomy places the organism in Eukaryota, Metazoa, Chordata, Actinopteri, Perciformes, Percidae.